Molecule: ribosomal RNA, 138 nt
Filed under: Pteropus vampyrus (large flying fox)
Lineage: Eukaryota; Metazoa; Chordata; Mammalia; Chiroptera; Pteropodidae
Source: RNAcentral
UUCUAGGGCUUUAAGCCUCAAGACACUGCAUUGUUUGGUCAAAACCUGACCCAUCGUCUGAUCUCCAAAGCUAAACAGGGUUGGGCCUGGUUAGUACUUGGAUGGGAGACCACCUAGAAAGACCAGGUGCUAUAGGUG